Molecule: ribosomal RNA, 508 nt
Filed under: uncultured bacterium
Lineage: Bacteria
Description: partial 16S ribosomal RNA
Rfam family: Bacterial small subunit ribosomal RNA
Source: RNAcentral
GAUGAACGCUGGCGGCGUGCCUAAUACAUGCAAGUCGAACGGCAGCGGGGGAGAAGCUUGCUUUUCCUGCCGGCGAGUGGCGAACGGGUGAGUAAUACAUCGGAACGUGCCCUGUAGUGGGGGAUAACUAGUCGAAAGAUUAGCAAAUACCGCAUACGACCUGCGGGUGAAAGUGGGGGACCGCAAGGCCUCAUGCUAUAGGAGCGGCCGAUGUCUGAUUAGCUAGUUGGUGGGGUAAAGGCCUACCAAGGCGACGAUCAGUAGCUGGUCUGAGAGGACGAUCAGCCACACUGGGACUGAGACACGGCCCAGACUCCUACGGGAGGCAGCAGUGGGGAAUUUUGGACAAUGGGCGAAAGCCUGAUCCAGCAAUGCCGCGUGUGUGAAGAAGGCCUUCGGGUUGUAAAGCACUUUUGUCCGGAAAGAAAUGGCUCUGGUUAAUACCUGGGGUCGAUGACGGUACCGGAAGAAUAAGGACCGGCUAACUACGUGCCAGCCGCCGCGGUAA